Molecule: ribosomal RNA, 468 nt
Filed under: uncultured bacterium
Lineage: Bacteria
Description: partial 16S ribosomal RNA
Rfam family: Bacterial small subunit ribosomal RNA
Source: RNAcentral
GAUGAACGCUGACAGAAUGCUUAACACAUGCAAGUCUACUUGAAUUUGGGUUUUUUAACUUAGAUUUGGGUGGCGGACGGGUGAGUAACGCGUAAAGAACUUGCCUCACAGUUAGGGACAACAUUUGGAAACGAAUGCUAAUACCUGAUAUUAUGAAUAUAUGGCAUCAUAUAAUUAUGAAAGCUAUAAGCGCUGUGAGAGAGCUUUGCGUCCCAUUAGCUAGUUGGAGAGGUAACGGCUCACCAAGGCGAUGAUGGGUAGCCGGCCUGAGAGGGUGAACGGCCACAAGGGGACUGAGACACGGCCCUUACUCCUACGGGAGGCAACAGUGGGGAAUAUUGGACAAUGGACCAAGAGUCUGAUCCAGCAAUUCUGUGUGCACGAUGACGUUUUUCGGAAUGUAAAGUGCUUUCAGUUGGGAAGAAAAAAAUGACGGUACCAACAGAAGAAGUGACGGCUAAAUACGUG